This 253-nucleotide ribosomal RNA is filed under the name uncultured bacterium. RNAcentral's name for it is "partial 16S ribosomal RNA". It matches the Rfam family "Bacterial small subunit ribosomal RNA", at positions 524 to 776 of the family's 1533-position model. The record is from RNAcentral.
UACGGGGGGGGCAAGCGUUGUUCGGAAUUACUGGGCGUAAAGGGCGCGUAGGCGGUUGGAUAAGUCAGCUGUGAAAACCACGGGCUUAACUCGUGGCCUGCAGUUGAGACUGUCUGGCUUGAGUGUGGGAGAGGAGAGUGGAAUUCCUGGUGUAGCGGUGAAAUGCGUAGAUAUCAGGAGGAACACCGGUGGCGAAGGCGGCUCUCUGGACCACAACUGACGCUGAGGCGCGAAAGCGUGGGGAGCGAACGGG